Molecule: RNA transcript, 6641 nt
Organism: Gossypium raimondii (Peruvian cotton)
Lineage: Eukaryota; Viridiplantae; Streptophyta; Magnoliopsida; Malvales; Malvaceae
Exons: 11
Source: RefSeq, a predicted model, not a curated record
CUCAUUAUUGUUUCUUCACGUUCCAUUUUUGUCGAUUCCAGUUCCCAUAAAACUCAACCUCCCCUAUAUGCAAAUCACUAUUGCUGCUAUUCUUCUCCCCUAAAUGAGUAUCCUUCACGAGAUCUAUCUCAAUUCAGCUCCCUCUAUUGUUUAGCCUCCAUUGAUUGUAUAGAAAAAUCAGGCACACCCCCUUCGAGACGUAGGGAGAGGUUCGGACUGGUGAAUUCAGUGUUCUCAUCUUAAAAAUAAUUAAACGGAGGGUUAUUGUUGGUGGCUUUGGAGUGCUCGGGGACUAUUUCAACAUCAAACCAAACCAGAUAAGCUACGAAUUCUACGAUGCGUGCACGAGGUAUUCGCGGACGGGGUACUGGAGGACAAGGUAGAGGCCGUAGAGGGGUCGAGCUGAGUCUUCGUCGUUAAGCAGCAUACCGAAUCUGAAUACAAGUGAGACGUCGGUUUCACCUGCUACAGAGACUGGGUCUAAUGAUCGCAUGGCCGAGGACAACGUCUUGUCCCAGGCUAUGCUGAGGAUAUUAGAGAGGGUCGCUGGGCCCAACACUGGAUUAGAGGGUCGAGGGUCGGUUACGGAACGACUCUGGUCUAAUGGGGCUGAGUUAUUCAGGGUGUCACUAGAGUCGCCCCUAGCGUGGCUGAGUGCUGGGUGAAGGCCAUGUAAAGAAUCAUGGACGAUCUGGACUUUACCCCUGAACAAAAAUUGAAAGGGUCUGUUUCAUUGCUUCGCGAUUAAGCAUACCAAUAGUGGCUGACUGUUAAGGGGCACACAGCCCGAACGUCUGACUUGGGGUUUCUAUAAGUUUGUUUUUCAAGCUAAAUAUGUGGGGGUAAGCUACAUUGACGCUAGAAGACGUGAGUUUCUAAAUCUCACGCAAGGGGAUCGUUCAGUGGCCGAGUAUGAGGCCGAGUUUUUAAGAAUGAGCCGCUAUGCGCGAAGAAUGGUGGUGACUGAAUUUGAGCAUUGUGUUCGCUUCGAGGAUGGACUCAAUGAUAGUUUGAGAGUUCUGAUAGCUCUGCAGAAAGAGCGUGGCUGUUCAACACUGGUAGAGAAGAUGAAGAUCGUUGGGGAGAUGAAGUACGCUGAGCGCCAAAAUCAGGAUAAGGAGAGAGGCAAAUAUAAAAGGGAUUCAGAGCCCUCGAGUUUCAUGAUGAAGACUAAGAAAAACGCCAUCUGGGCGAAUGUUAGAGGACGAUUGGAGCUUGUUUAAGAUGUGGGUCUACUAAGCAUCAUGUUCGAGAGUGUCCGUUGAGGGCCGAUUAGGUGGAAGCUGCAGAUUCUGGUACUGCACAGCCACCGGGGGUAGUUCAGUCGCCGCCUAGGGGUCGUGGUCAGGUUAGGCGUGGUAAUGGUAUGGGUCGAAGGCAAAGAGCAUCGUGCAGAGGUGUUGGACAGGCUGUGGCGAGAGGAUAGAGAUGCUCCGGACGUCAUCACGGGUACGUUUCUUAUUUUUGAUGUGCCUUACACUACGUUGAUAGAUAUAGGAUCUACGCAUUCCAAUGUUAACAUAGGAAUUCCUAUGUUACCUGUUCUAGUGAGGUGGCUGUGCUGAGCCCGCUGGGGCAAUAUGUUAGAGUUAGCAAACUGUACAGAGAUGUUUCUUUAGAGGUUCAAUGGAUGGUAUUUCUGGCUGAUUUGAUAGAUUUUACGUUUAAGGAGUUCGAUAUGAUAUUGGGGAUGGACUGGUUGGUAAAGCAUCGUGUCAGUUUGGACUGUACAACUAAGAGAGUCGUAUUGAGAACUAAAGGGGGUAAUGAAGUAGUUGUGAUUGGGGAACAUCAGAAUUACUUGGCUAACGUGAUCUCUACACGGGUAGUUGAGAAACUAGUUCGCAAAGGAUGUGAGGCAUAUUUGGCCUACGUAAGUGUUUCCGUUUCUGGGGACUCUACUGUUAAGGACAUCAGAACUAUGAAAGACUUUCCAGACGUCUUUCCUGAUGAGCUAUCGGGUUUACCUCUGAAUCGAGAAGUGGAGUUUGGGAUUGAACUUCUCCCUGGUAUAGCUUCGGUGUCUAUCACUCCCUAUCGAAUGGCACCGAAGGAGCUUACGGAGCUCAAGGCUCAAAUUUAGGAGUUAUUGGAUCAUGGGUUCAUCCGCCCUAGUGUAUCCCUGUGGGGAGCAUUGGUACUGUUUUUUAAGAAAAACGAUGGAUCCAUGAGGAUAUGUAUUGACCACCGAUAAUUAAAUAAGUUGACUAUUAAGAAUAAGUAUCCACUUCCGAGGAUUGAUGAUUUGUUUGAUCAGUUUUGAGGGGCGUCUGUGUUCUCCAAAUUUUACUUACGUUUUGGGUAUCAUCAGUUGAGGGUUAAGAAGGCUAAUGUCCAUAAGACAGCAUUUAGGACUCGUUCUGGUCACUACGAGUUCCUAGUGAUGCCAUUUGGACUGACUAAUGCAUCGGUAACUUUCAUGGAUUUGAUGAACCGAGUGUUUUAGCCUUACCUGGAUCAGUUUGUAGUGGUGUUCAUCAAUGACAUAUUGGUUUAUUCGACGACUGAGGAUGAGCAUGACGAGUACCUUAGGAUUGUUUUUCAGAUUUUGAGGGAAAAGUAGAUUUAUGCUAAGUUCAGCAAGUACGAGUUCUGGUUACGUGAAGUAACAUUUUUGGGUCAUGUGGUGUCUGCUGAGGGGAUUUGAGUCGAUCCUUGAAAAAUUGAGGCUAUAUUGGACUAAAAGCAGCCCAAGAAUGUGUUUGAGGUUCGCAACUUUUUGGGGUUGGUAGGUUAUUACCAACGAUUUGUGGAAGGAUUUUCAUUGAUCACAGCACCCUUAACUAAGUUGUUACGUAAAGAUGUACCGUUUGACUGGACUAAUGCGUAGCAAUAGAGCUUUGAGAAGCUUAAGACUGUACUGACUGAGGCACAUGUUUUGGUACAGCCUGAACCUAGAAAGAAGUUCACGAUUUAUAGUGAUGCAUCACAUAUCAGUUUGGGAUGUGUGUUGAUGAAUGAUGGUAAGGUGGUUGCAUAUGCGUCUCCUCAGCUUAAGACACACAAGGCGAACUAUCCGACGCACAAUUUGGAGUUGGCCGCUGUAGUCUUUGUAUUAAAAAUCUGGAGGCAUUAUCUGUAUGGUGAAAAGUGUAUUGUCUACACUGAUCAUAAAAGCCUCAAGUAUCUCCUCACUCAGAAGGAGUUAAAUCUUAGGCAGCGUAGAUGGGUUGAGUUGCUUAAGGAUUAUGAUUGUACUAUUGAGUACCAUUUCGGUAAGGCCAAUGUGGUGGCUGAUGCGAUGAGCCGUAGGGCUAUGACCGAUCUGAGAGUGAUGUUCUCUCGACUUAGCCUAUUCGAUGAUGGCAGUCUGUUUACAGAACUUUAGGUCAAACCAACAUGGAUUGAACAGAUUCGAGGUAAACAAUUGGGGGAUAAGUCUCUCAGGUUACGUUUUCGUUAGGUUUAGAAUGGUGGCACUACUGAUUUUGAAAUAAAUAAUGAUGGGGUACUUUGUUUCCACGGUCAGAUUUGUGUACUGAAUGAUGAGGAUUUAAGGUAGUCGAUUCUGAGAGAGGCGCAUAGUAGUCCCUAUACUAUGCAUCCCGGCAGGAACAAGAUGUAUCGAAAUCUUCGGGAAUUGUACUGGUGGCCAGGGUUGAAGUGUGAGGUUACCGACUUAGUUGCUCGUUGUUUAACUUGUCAGUAGGUUAAGGCUGAGCACCGUUAGCUUCGGGUUUGCUGCAACCGAUUAAGAUACCGUUAUGGAAAUGGGAGAGAGUAACGAUGGACUUCGUUAGUGGGUUACCUCUAACUCCCACUAAAAAGGAUUCUGUUUGGGUCAUCGUGGAUUGAUUGACCAAGUCUGCUCACUUUAUCCCUGUAAGGACAGAAUUUUCUCUUCAGAAAUUAGCUAAGUUCUACGUAUCAGAAAUAGUGAGACUGCAUGGGGUACCUGUCUCGAUCAUUUCCGAUCGGGAUCCUAAUUUCACAUCUUGGUUUUGGAAGAAGCUUCAUGAGGCUCUGGGUUCAAGAUUAGACUUUAGUACUGCUUUUCAUCCUCAGACAGAUGGUCAGUCGAAGAGGGUGAUUCAGAUACUAGAGGACAUGUUGAGGAACUGUGUUAUUGAUUUCUGAGGCAGUUGGGAUGAGUACUUGUCGUUAGCGGAGUUUGCCUACAAUAAUAGCUUCCAGUUUAGCAUCCAGAUGGCACCUUACGAGGCACUGUACGAUCGUAAGUGUUGCACUCUUUUAUGUUAAACUGGGUCCUGAGUUGGUCUCUGAGACAGAGGAUAAGGUUAGAUUGAUUCGAGAUCGUUUGAAAGUGGCUUAUGAUAGGAAUAAAUCGUAUAUAGAUUUGAAGAGGCACGAGAUCGAGUAUUCUAUGGGGGACUUAGUUUUUCUCAAUUUCUCGCCAUGGAAAAAGGUUCUGAUGUUCGAUCGCAAGGGCAAGCUGAGCCCUCGGUUUAUUGGACCUUACCACAUUCUGAAAUGUGUGGGACCUGUCGCUUAUCAGUUGGAUUUACUUCUAGAGUUGGAUCGUAUUCAUGAUGUUUUUCACGUCUCCAUGUUGAGGCGCUACCGCUCUGAUCCCACGGAUGUUUCUGUUGAAGAGAUUAAGGUUAGGCCAGACUUGACUUUCGAGGAGGAGCCGGUUCAAAUUCUAGAGCGUGAUGUAAAGGUCCUUCAAAAAAAGUCUAUUCCCUUAGUGAAGGUUCUGUGGCGUAAUCAUAGCACUAAGGAGGCCACGUGGGAGCCUGAGGAUGCAAUGCGUCAGCAAUAUCCUUAUCUGUUCUGAUCAGGGGGAGGCUUGGACUGGUGAAUUAAGUGUUCUCGUCUUAACAAUAGUUAAAUGAAGGGUUAUCCUUGGUGAGGUUUUGGAGUGCUCGGGGACUAUUUUAGCAUCAAACAAAACCAGGUAAUCUCCAGACUUAACCGGUCGGUGCAGCGGAGGACUCGACGAUGGCCACACGUAAAUUUUAGACUGUUUUCUGUUAAUGCCUAGAAUUUAUUACUUAUUUGGGGUUUUUGAUGUAUCUUUUGGACUAUGGAUUGGUUAGCUUUAAAUUUAGGACUUUAUACUGUUUUUAUGGAUUUUUUUUAAAACAGCAACUCCACAAAACACGAUUUUUUCUAAAAACUAACGGUAUGUUUGGUUGGGGGAAUCGGUAUGCAUUCCCCCUAUUCCCUGGGCCCACCACCAAACGGGCGUUUGGUUGGGUGUAAUGUUAUUACACCCCGAUUCCCUUUCGCCCCUAUUACCCAUAUUGGUUGUAAUAGCCAUUCUAAUGUUUAAGCGCCGAUUAGGGGUUCCCCCCAAUUCUGAAUUUUCUUUUCCAUUUUCUGCCCUCAUCCUCUCCGACGUUUCCCUUCCAUAUUGCAAGGACAAACAGGCUAGCAUUCCAGUCCUGUUAACCAGUGACAUUGCAUGUAAGAAGGUCCUGCCUUUUCUCGUCCACACUAUAAAAGACGUGUGUUAUUGUUUCCUAUUGAAGCAGCUUGUUUGAUUGCUUCCUCCACCCACAGUUGAGCAUCUUGUAUUCACACAAUCACUAUAAUUAUGUCAGGUGUUUCAGAAUCAAAUGUUUCUUCCCAAGCUUCUUGAGGAACCAAAAGGAAAUGGGUUUCAGAAGAAGAUGCAACAUUGGUUUCCUGUAUGAUGGACUUGCACAAUGUUGGAACCUUUAAUGCUAAUAAGGGGUUCAAAGCCGGUUAUUUAAACGAGUUGGAAAAAAUGUUAGAAAAGGCUUUACCCAAUACAAUGUUGAAGGCUAGACCUAAUAUUGCAUCAGGGAUUAGGUUACUAAAAAGGGAUUGGUCAAUCGUGUAUGACAUGCUUAAUGGCCAAAACAAUAGCGGUUUUGGUUGGGAUGAGUAUAGGCAGCUCGUUGUUGCUGAAGAUGCGGUUUGGAACUCUUAUUUAGAUAGUCAUAAAGAAGCCGGUCAAUUCAAACAUCGUAGUUUCCCUUACUACGACCAACUUACUGCCAUAUACGCAAGAGAUCGAGCGACUGGGAAAGAUGCUCAAACAGCCGCUGAUGUUAUUGAAGAAAUAAAUGUUCAGGAUGUACCUACUACAGAUAUUAAUGAAGAAAUAAACGAAUUCUACGACUGCGAAGUUGAUGUCUCUUUGGAUGACAUGGAUGUUUCUGCUACGGAACCGCAACCAGAUAGAAACCAAGGGGGUUCCACAUCUUCAAAGAAGAAAAAAAAGAAUUAUGAUGCAAGUGAUCAUUUUUCUUUUUCAUUUCAUGAUGCUGCCACUUUAUUGGCGGAAAACAUGCGGGCCAUUGGCGAACAAAUCAGUAGGAGUAUUGCCUCCGAUGUGAUAGUUCAACAAAAGUCAGAAGAAUUCCAGAUCAUCCAAGAAAAAGCAACAAAUUUAUAUCCAACCUUGUGUGAAAUAGAAUGUUUAACUGUGGAUGAGCGCUAUCGAGCAUUGAGCAAAAUUCCAGAUCAUCCAACUCAAAUGCUCGUUUUCUUUAGUUUACCUUCUGAUGUGCAGUUGGAACGGGUCAGAAGAUUUCUUGCUAACCAUUAAAAAUCAUGGUUCUGUUGAUGAUAUUUUCGUAACUUUUUCUAUUUGUAAUAUUUGGGAUGGUAUGUCAUUACAAUUUUCUAACUUUUUGAUGUUGUAAAACUGUAUAACAUAUGGAUUAUGACAUAGAAUUUCAUGAAUUUCAUGUAACCUUUUGUUAAUA